This 95-nucleotide small RNA is filed under the name Salmonella enterica subsp. enterica serovar Schwarzengrund. RNAcentral's name for it is "partial RtT sRNA". It matches the Rfam family "RtT RNA", at positions 34 to 130 of the family's 130-position model. From Rfam's summary of the family: This family represents a bacterial cis-regulatory element known as RtT RNA. The exact function of RtT is unknown although it is thought that it may be involved in changing the cellular response in relation to amino acid starvation. Lineage: Bacteria; Pseudomonadati; Pseudomonadota; Gammaproteobacteria; Enterobacterales; Enterobacteriaceae. The record is from RNAcentral.
GCCGCAGGUUUGGGUCUCACGCAGUGAGACAACGGAGCCGCUUGCGGCGACGGCCCGAAGGGCGAGCGAAGCGAGUUAUCCUGCACGACCCACCA